CCCUUAGAUGUUCUGGGCCGCACGCGCGCUACACUGAUGCAUUCAACGAGUCUAAAACCUGCUCUGAUAGGGGUGGGUAAUCUUUUGAAUGUGCAUCGUGAUUGGGAUAGAUGAUUUCAAUUUUUCAUCUUCAACGAGGAAUGCCUAGUAAACGCAAGUCAUCAGCUUGCAUUGAUUACGUCCCUGCCCUUUGUACACACCGCCCGUCGCUCCUACCGAUUGAAUGAUCCGAUGAAUAUCAUGGAUUGAGGAUGCAAGCAGGUUCGCCUGUCUUCAUCUUCGAGAAGUGAAGUAAAUCUUAUCAUUUAGAGGAAGGAGAAGUCGUAACA
RNAcentral lists this ribosomal RNA (329 nucleotides) under uncultured eukaryote. Its description in RNAcentral is "partial 18S ribosomal RNA". It matches the Rfam family "Eukaryotic small subunit ribosomal RNA", at positions 1470 to 1796 of the family's 1831-position model. The record is from RNAcentral.